UUCAUAAAUAUUGAAUUUAACUUUUAAGUGAAAAGGCUUAAAUAAUUUGGGGGGACGAUAAGACCCUAUAAAUCUUAACAUUUCUACUAUUAAAUGUACUUAGAGUGUAGUUGAUGUAUGUUUAUUGGGGUAGUGUUUUACUGGGGCGGUAUAAAUAAAAUUAGUAACUGUUUAUAUUAAUUACAGUAAUAUCUGAACAUUUGUAGAUCCUUAAUUAAAGAUCAAAAGUUUAAGUUACUUUAGGGAUAACAGCGUUAUUUCUUUUAAGAGUUCAUAUCUAAAAAGAAGUUUGCGACCUCGAU
This 302-nucleotide ribosomal RNA is filed under the name Emerita analoga. RNAcentral describes it as "partial 16S ribosomal RNA". It matches the Rfam family "Bacterial large subunit ribosomal RNA", at positions 2048 to 2530 of the family's 2925-position model. The record is from RNAcentral. Lineage: Eukaryota; Metazoa; Arthropoda; Malacostraca; Decapoda; Hippidae.